GAUGAAGAACGUAGCGAAAUGCGAUAAGUAAUGUGAAUUGCAGAAUUCCGUGAAUCAUCGAAUCUUUGAACGCACAUUGCGCCCGCCAGUAUUCUGGCGGGCAUGCAUGUUCGAGCGUCAUUUCAACCCUCAAGCCCAGCUUGGUGUUGGGGAUCGGCACAGGCGCCCUCGGGCGCCCGCCGUCCCCUAAAUCUAGUGGCGGUCCCGCUGCAGCCUCCUCUGCGUAGUAGUUUUCUCCUCGCAAGGGCAGCUCGGUGGCGACCUCGCCGUAAAACCCCCAACUUCUGAAAGGUUGACCUCGAAUCAGGUAGGAAUACCCGCUGAACUUAAGCAUAUCAAUAAGCGGAGGA
This 350-nucleotide unclassified non-coding RNA is filed under the name soil metagenome. RNAcentral's name for it is "partial contains 5.8S ribosomal RNA, internal transcribed spacer 2, and large subunit ribosomal RNA". The stretch from base 1 to 120 matches the Rfam family "5.8S ribosomal RNA", at positions 35 to 154 of the family's 154-position model. The record is from RNAcentral.